AUGAACUACCCGGUGGGGUUCCGCUUCGCCCCGACGGACGAGGAGCUGGUCGAGUACUACCUCCUGCCCCGGCUGCAAGGCCGGCAACACGUGCCCAACGACGCCAUCAUCGAGGACAACGUCUACCAGUGCCACCCCGACGAGCUCGUCAACGGCAAGUACAAGGACAAGGGACAAGACAACAACUGGUUCUUCCUGACGUCGAGGACUCGCAAGUACGUCAACGGCGGCAGGCCGGCCCGGUCGACGGACGACGGCCGGGGGCGGUGGAAGGCGUCGACGGGCACCACGGAGGUCGUCGGCGCCACCGUCACGUACAAGGAGAGCGGCCUCGCCUACCAUGAAGGCCCCAUCAAGACCGAGAAGAAGACCAAGUGGCUCAUGCACGAGCUCACCGUCCCGGAGUACGAGAACAAGCUCGACAAGAGCGGUGUCCGGCCCAAAUCCGAUACGAUCAUCAGUCGUAAGGCCGGACGCCGCCACUGCUCAAUGUUGAAUGGUUGUCCGUGUCAUGCUGCAAGAGAGACGGGCGAUGUUGCAAGGCUGGCCAAUAUCGUUGCAAGAGGGACACAUGAUGCUGAAAUGUUGGCUGCACAUGGUGGAGUGUUGUUGGGCACCACUCUCGUGGGAUGGGAGCAUCUAUUCUUUUUUCUUGCGACAGGUCCCAUGCAUCUAACUAUUUGUGGCUGGUUGAUACAAGGGGCAACGUGCCGGUCGACGCCUAGCACAACCCAUUUUAAUGAAUGA
Molecule: ribosomal RNA, 747 nt
Filed under: Triticum aestivum (bread wheat)
Lineage: Eukaryota; Viridiplantae; Streptophyta; Magnoliopsida; Poales; Poaceae
Description: partial small subunit ribosomal RNA
Source: RNAcentral